Quercus lobata is the source of this 1750-nucleotide long non-coding RNA. RefSeq lists it as uncharacterized. NCBI's taxonomy places the organism in Eukaryota, Viridiplantae, Streptophyta, Magnoliopsida, Fagales, Fagaceae. The record is from RefSeq and is a predicted model, not a curated record. The transcript is spliced from 5 exons.
UUUGGGCAUGUAAUUCCACAUUAACUGGUAUCCAGUAAGUGUUAUGCCUAUAUUUGAUUCUUCUUAUUCAUUUAUGUCUUAAUAUGAUAUAUCAAUAUGGAUCUUGCGGAUUACAUUGACUUCGGGUAUUUGGACUAAUCUGACAUAACUCAUUAUAUUUUGUUCUUUUGGGCAUGUAGCUGGUGGACGACCGAAAUUGAGGACCUGGUUUUUUUAGUAAUCACCGUGAGAGAGAAAAGGACAUUAAAAGUCUCUUUUGUGGAUGUUUGAGGGUGGCUUUAGCUCUCUCUCUUUUGCUUCAUGCCUCUGAAUCAAAACAAAUAAACCCUCCCUCCAACCAUCUCCAUUGCGACACUCUUCAGGGAAGGUUUUGAUGGAGUAUGGGAAUGGGAUUUGCCCAUUACAAGCCUGCCCUGUAUUGAGCAGCAAGCAGACUGUUUGAACUAGUCUAAAAAGGUUAAGAAAAGAUGUGUUGGCCAAGGAUGAAGCAGAAAGUCAGAAACCUCUUUGGCUAUUAAUGGACUUGUGCCUGAAGGAGAGUGGAGGAUUUGGAAAUAAGCUACUGUAGGAUGUGAGUCUGUAUAUCUCAAAAAUCGAGGUAUGGAUGUUAGGGUGUAUUCUCUCACUUCGGUGCUAAAUGAGUUGUUUGUCAUGCUUGGCAAUUGUGAGUGAUCACCUUUGAAAGUUAGUAGAGGAAGAACUUGAAGAGCAGUAUUUGUGUAGUAACUAAUUCAACUUUAAGGCUUGGCUUUGCAGUUGGCAUUAUGCAUGCCUGUGAAGGAAGUGCUGGAGUGUUAAUAAUGUUCGAUCAGCCAGCGGUAUAUGAAUGCUUUUGUUCAUCAUCCCUUGGUGAUUCUCCUCACAGCUCUGGAGGCUUUUAGCUAUAUGAUGGCAUGUGAAAUGACAAUAUCAAUUGGUGCAUCUGGUGCACUUUUUGUACUAUUGGGAGCCAUGGUUUGUAAGAUUUUCACUAAUUGGACAAUCUAUGCAAAGAAGGUAGCAUUUUUGUUUUGCUCUUUAUUGCCUAGUAACAAUGACAGUCCGAUACUCAAAGCUAAGGUUUUAUCAGAUUAACCUUCAUGGGCAAAACAAUUUAUGCUAAUUGGAUGAUGCCGUGUACCACAUUGAAAACGCUUCAACUUAUUAUGUGCAAAAAUUUAGAGCAUUUGCCUUCUUUGGGGCAGUUGCCAUUCCUUGAAGUAUUGAGCAUAUCGCUCUUUAAUUUGAAUAGGGUGGGAGAUGAAUUUCUGGGAAUAGAAGAUUCCAAAAACAAGGACCAUGACAUCAUAUUCCCAAACCUGAAAUCUCUCCAAUUUGUGUAUUUGAGAAACUGGGAAGAAUGGAUUGGGAUGGGAGGAACAGGAGAAGAAGAAGAAGAAAAUGAUAAUGGUAUUGUUACUAUUCCGAUAAUAAUAAAAAUAAUGCCACGUCUUCAGUCCUUGAAAAUUUUUUACUGCUACAAUCUAAAGCUUCUGCCAGACUACUUGUGUACUGCUCCAUUAUUGAAGGAAUUGGAGAUUUUUGGAUCCCUACUUCUUGAAGAAAGUUACAAAACAGGGACGGGAGAGAACUCGCCCAGGAUUUCUCACAUCCCAAACAUCAUAUUGGGUUGGGUGUAUGUGCAAAUAGACGGUGAACCCCAGAAUUGAUUCAGACAGUCAUUCAGAGACUGAUGAUAGUCAACACAAUGAAUUUGGACUAGAAAUCAAUGACAAAGAUGAUGUAGAAGAAGUUAAUGAGGAAGUUGGGG